Molecule: ribosomal RNA, 403 nt
Filed under: uncultured bacterium
Lineage: Bacteria
Description: bacterial SSU rRNA
Rfam family: Bacterial small subunit ribosomal RNA
Source: RNAcentral
GGGGGAUAUUGCGCAAUGGGGGAAACCCUGACGCAGCAACGCCGCGUGAAGGAAGAAGGUCUUCGGAUUGUAAACUUCUUUUGUCAGGGACGAGGAAAGUGACGGUACCUGACGAAUAAGCUCCGGCUAACUACGUGCCAGCAGCCGCGGUAAUACGUAGGGAGCGAGCGUUGUCCGGAUUUACUGGGUGUAAAGGGUGCGUAGGCGGCCGAGCAAGUCAGUUGUGAAAACUAUGGGCUUAACCCAUAACGUGCAAUUGAAACUGUCCGGCUUGAGUGAAGUAGAGGUAGGCGGAAUUCCCGGUGUAGCGGUGAAAUGCGUAGAGAUCGGGAGGAGCACCAGUGGCGAAGGCGGCCUACUGGGCUUUAACUGACGCUGAGGCACGAAAGCAUGGGUAGCAAAC